AUGAACGCUGGCGGCGUGCCUAAUACAUGCCAGUCGAGCGAACGGACGAGAAGCUUGCUUCUCUGAUGUUAGCGGCGGACGGGUGAGUAACACGUGGAUAACCUACCUAUAAGACUGGGAUAACUUCGGGAAACCGGAGCUAAUACCGGAUGAUAUUUUGAACCGCAUGGUUCAAAAGUGAGAGACGGUCUUGCUGUCACUUAUAGAUGGAUCCGCGCUGCAUUAGCUAGUUGGUAAGGUAACGGCUUACCAAGGCAACGAUGCAUAGCCGACCUGAGAGGGUGAUCGGCCACACUGGAACUGAGACACGGUCCAGACUCCUACGGGAGGCAGCAGUAGGGAAUCUUCCGCAAUGGGCGAAAGCCUGACGGAGCAACGCCGCGUGAGUGAUGAAGGUCUUCGGAUCGUAAAACUCUGUUAUUAGGGAAGAACAUAUGUGUAAGUAACUGUGCACAUCUUGACGGUACCUAAUCAGAAAGCCACGGCUAACUACGUG
RNAcentral lists this ribosomal RNA (496 nucleotides) under uncultured bacterium. RNAcentral describes it as "partial 16S ribosomal RNA". It matches the Rfam family "Bacterial small subunit ribosomal RNA", at positions 29 to 507 of the family's 1533-position model. The record is from RNAcentral.